AGAGUUUGAUCCUGGCUCAGGAUGAACGCUAGCGGCAGGCUUCAUACAUGCAAGUCGAGGGGCAGCAUAAAUUACUUGUAAUUUGAUGGCGACCGGCGAACGGGUGCGUAACGCGUAUGCAACUUACCUUUUACUAGAGAAUAGCCAAGAGAAAUUUUGAUUAAUGCUCUAUGUUCUUAUUUACACGCAUGAGUAAAUAAGCAAAGCUCCGGCGGUAAAAGAUGGGCAUGCGUCCUAUUAGCUUGUAGGUGAGGUAAUGGCUCACCUAAGCUCCGAUAGGUAGGGGUCCUGAGAGGGAGAUCCCCCACACUGGUACUGAGACACGGACCAGACUUCUACGGAAGGCAGCAGUAAGGAAUAUUGGACAAUGGAGGCAACUCUGAUCCAGCCAUGCCGCGUGAAGGAAGACGGCCUUAUGGGUUGUAAACUUCUUUUAUACAGGAAGAAACCUUUCCACGUGUGGAAAGCUGACGGUACUGUAAGAAUAAGGAUCGGCUAACUCCGUGCCAGCAGCCGCGGUAAUACGGAGGAUCCAAGCGUUAUCCGGAAUUAUUGGGUUUAAAGGGUCCGCAGGCUGUUUGUUAAGUCAGAGGUGAAAUCCUACCGCUCAACGGUAGAACUGCCUUUGAUACUGGCAAACUUGAGUUAUUGUGAAGUAGUUAGAAUGUGUAGUGUAGCGGUGAAAUGCAUAGAUAUUACACAGAAUACCGAUUGCGAAAGCAGAUUACUAACAAUAUACUGACGCUGAGGGACGAAAGCGUGGGUAGCGAACAGGAUUAGAUACCCUGGUAGUCCACGCCGUAAACGAUGGUCACUAGCUGUUCGAUGUACAUUGGUACGUUGAGUGGCUAAGCGAAAGUGAUAAGUGACCCACCUGGGGAGUACGCUCGCAAGAGUGAAACUCAAAGGAAUUGACGG
RNAcentral lists this ribosomal RNA (918 nucleotides) under uncultured marine bacterium. RNAcentral's name for it is "bacterial SSU rRNA". It matches the Rfam family "Bacterial small subunit ribosomal RNA", at positions 8 to 916 of the family's 1533-position model. The record is from RNAcentral.